UGGUUCCUCUAGAAAUCUUGAGUUUGUUUGCAGUUGUUUGUUACGCUCUAAUUGACUUUCAAUAUAUUUGCACCUUCAAUUUAAAAUUCUCUUUUAGACCUUAUGAUGAUUCUAUGCUGAUGAUUCGGUAUAAAUUUCUUUUGUUUCCAUUUUUAUCUAGGAUGUGUGGAGUGAACUGGGAUGCCCUUGUGGAAUUCAUCAAAAACAAGUAUCACUUUCGCUGUCUUUGUUUACAAGCUUCUGGAACAUUCACUAGGGAUGCUGUCUAUUUGUGCUGUGUCCAUGGGGUUCCUGUAGUUAAAUUGUGAGGGAUUGACCUUGUGAGUUUAACAGGUGGACCAAAUGGUAAUUCAUACUCGCCCACGAACAACUCUCAGUGGUGAUUACUUCUAUAAUUACUUCACUCAAGGCUUGUAAAUAUUAUUCUAUGGGCAGGUAUCCAAUACUUACUUCCAGAUGGUAGAUGGUAUCUUCAUUGUCAUACUUAAAUGAGAUGAUUAAAAGCAUUUUUGGGAGUUGUUUCAUAUUAUGAACAAAAGGCAAACGAUCUCUGCAACAAUAAACAAUGUUCUACUUUUUAACGCUGACACUGGGAAGCCCAGAUACUAUUGUGUUAGCCUUUGUUACCACGAAGGCUGUUGCUUGUUAUUUUCAUGAUUCUACAAGAGUUGUGUUUAUUUGCUAAUAUAUUAUAAACAAUAUUAAACUUGGGAUGAUCUAAUUUCGCCUUCUUUGGCAGCAGCAUGAUACAGCAUGCUCUGGUUUGAAAUGUCAUCUUUGCUUUCUUUGGUUGAAAGGUUAUUUUCGUAAGUACCUUUAGCUAGUUCGAUGCUUGAUGUGGUCUCUCUUCUGAUAAAAUAGUACUAAUUUACGGUUUUUCUUUUCUUCGAUAUGCAAGUAUGUAACAACAUUGCAAUUCCUUUUGUAAGCUGUAAGUGUACUGGUGAAUGGGGAUUGGGACAAAAUGGGACACUGAAUACCCAG
Molecule: long non-coding RNA, 984 nt
Filed under: Olea europaea (common olive)
Lineage: Eukaryota; Viridiplantae; Streptophyta; Magnoliopsida; Lamiales; Oleaceae
Description: long non-coding RNA (OEUR_LNC009665)
Source: RNAcentral